GGGGAAUAUUGCACAAUGGGCGCAAGUCUGACGCGGCGACGCCGCGUGAGCGAUGAAGGCCUUCGGGUCGUAAAGCUCUGUCCUUGGGGAAGAAGGUCUUCGGACUUGACGGUACCCAAGAAGAAAGCCCCGGCUAACUACGUGCCAGCAGCCGCGGUAAUACGUAGGGGGCGAGCGUUGUCCGGAAUUACUGGGCGUAAAGGGUGCGUAGGCGGCCCUUUAAGUCAGAUGUGAAAGCCCGCAGCUUAACUGCGGAAUUGCAUUUGAAACUGGAGGGCUUGAGUGUCGGAGAGGGUAGUGGAAUUCCCAGUGUAGCGGUGAAAUGCGUAGAUAUUGGGAGGAACACCAGUGGCGAAGGCGACUGCCUGGACGAUAACUGACGCUGAGGCACGAAAGCUAGGGGAGCAAAC
This 410-nucleotide ribosomal RNA is filed under the name uncultured bacterium. RNAcentral describes it as "bacterial SSU rRNA". It matches the Rfam family "Bacterial small subunit ribosomal RNA", at positions 356 to 773 of the family's 1533-position model. The record is from RNAcentral.